CUUUUGGAGCGGCCGAUGUCUGAUUAGCUAGUUGGUGAGGUAAUGGCUUACCAAGGCGACGAUCAGUAGUUGGUCUGAGAGGACGACCAGCCACACUGGGACUGAGACACGGCCCAGACUCCUACGGGAGGCAGCAGUGGGGAAUUUUGGACAAUGGGCGCAAGCCUGAUCCAGCAAUGCCGCGUGAGUGAAGAAGGCCUUCGGGUUGUAAAGCUCUUUCAGUCGAAAAGAAAAGAUUGGGUCUAAUAAUCUUUAUUCAUGACGGUAUCGGCAGAAGAAGCACCGGCUAACUACGUGCCAGCAGCCGCGGUAAUACGUAGGGUGCAAGCGUUAAUCGGAAUUACUGGGCGUAAAGGGUGCGCAGGCGGUUCUGUAAGUCAGAUGUGAAAUCCCCGGGCUUAACCUGGGAAUUGCGUUUGAAACUACAAAGCUAGA
RNAcentral lists this ribosomal RNA (435 nucleotides) under uncultured Nitrosomonas sp. RNAcentral describes it as "bacterial SSU rRNA". It matches the Rfam family "Bacterial small subunit ribosomal RNA", at positions 218 to 645 of the family's 1533-position model. Lineage: Bacteria; Pseudomonadati; Pseudomonadota; Betaproteobacteria; Nitrosomonadales; Nitrosomonadaceae. The record is from RNAcentral.